UACGUAGGGUGCGAGCGUUGUCCGGAAUUAUUGGGCGUAAAGGGCUCGUAGGCGGUCUGUCGCGUCGGGAGUGAAAACUCAGGGCUUAACCCUGAGCCUGCUUCCGAUACGGGCAGACUAGGGGUAUGCAGGGGAGAACGGAAUUCCUGGUGUAGCGGUGGAAUGCGCAGAUAUCAGGAGGAACACCGGUGGCGAAGGCGGUUCUCUGGGCAUUACCUGACGCUGAGGAGCGAAAGUGUGGGGAGCGAACAGG
RNAcentral lists this ribosomal RNA (253 nucleotides) under uncultured bacterium. RNAcentral describes it as "partial 16S ribosomal RNA". It matches the Rfam family "Bacterial small subunit ribosomal RNA", at positions 524 to 776 of the family's 1533-position model. The record is from RNAcentral.